Molecule: long non-coding RNA, 377 nt
Organism: Xenia sp. Carnegie-2017
Lineage: Eukaryota; Metazoa; Cnidaria; Anthozoa; Malacalcyonacea; Xeniidae
Exons: 2
Source: RefSeq, a predicted model, not a curated record
CAAGAUGUCUUGCUUCUUCGGAAUUUGUUUUAUACAAAGCUCACAGACAUGAAGUUACAAUUUGUAAUUAUGAAGCCAGAGCAAAUCCUGCUGACAAUAAAACAACAUUCUUGAACUCUGUCAAUCACAUAAUCUCAUGAAGUCUGAGUUAGAAUAAGUCCUUUGGUUUGUCAAAUAUGUCUUUAAUUUAUAAACUAAAUAUGAACAAUGGCCUUUAAAAUUUAUAUUAAUUUAUUUAUUUGCUGUUUUGUUUGGUGCAUAUUAUUGAAAACUGUUGUUAAUGCUCAAGACAUCACACUUAACAAUCACAUUACUCCUUUCAAGAUGGGAGAAUUGUGUGGACAUAUAGUGGAGACAUUAAUAAAGUUACUUCUCAA